UAUUAUUAUUAUUAUUAUUAUUUUGUUGCUAAAUCGAGAUUUUAUAAGCUUUUAUAGUGUCAGUAUUAUGCUGGGAGUUGUUGAAUCUGUUGUGGUUUCUGUUGGUCCAGAUAUUCCAGAGGAGGUAAGGAAGUAGAGUGGCAAUGGAAAUUUGAAUGUUAAUGGGCAGAAGUAUAUUUGUGUCGGGUUUGUUCACGGCAGUGCAGCCUGGAAUAAAACAAAUACUGCCCUGUUAAGGCAACAAAAUAAAUCAUUGGUCCUGCAAUCAUGGAUGCUACCUUCUAUUGACGUUGAGGUGAUUAUUUGUAUAUAUUUCAAUAGUUCAGGUAAAGAAUCCAAAAUAUAUUCUUCUUUCUUAAAAGCUACAUUACUACAACUAAAAUAAAGCAAUGUAAACUUAUUUUCUACUGUAUAAUUUACAAGCGGCUCUACCUUACAGAAUCGUCCUUUGUCUUUUCAAAGAAAUAUAGCGUCCAUAAUGCUUUAUUGAGCAGGCAAAUGGAAAGCAAACCAUCACGUACCAUCCAAAUCUAUUUGUUAGUUCCAGCUUAGCUUUAGUUUUGUUAAAUUUGUAGAUGCAAGUAUGAAUAAAGUAAGUUGCUUUUCGUCCAAUACUACUCAAGUUUUCUCAUAGUUGUGAUGGACACUCUUAUACAUUUGAGAAGUGAUAAUUUCAGGAGGUAAAACAAAUUAAGAGUAUUACGAUUUGAGAGAAUCAAAGAAAAGAUUCCUUGAAAACUUCCUAAAUAAAAUAUCCUAUUAUCUGUUUCGGAUUCUUAGUUUAUCAAGAGACAAGAGUGAUACUAUUAGGCUAAGUUGGUUUGAUGUUUCAUUCUAUUUGUGCUACUCAUAUGGAGAUGCCUUGCCGGAUUCCUUAAUUGAUUAAUGUAGUUUAGAACUGCCAUAAAGACUAACAGACAAGGUCUUAAAAUGCAGAUGAAACUUGUGUCAACUUGCAAGCAUUGGAGUUGGAUAUGUGUGAACCAUAAAGACUCACUACAAAGUCUUGAAAACUGAACAGAUUACGUAGAUAAGUGAGAAAUAAUUAAUACAUCCAUUCAAAUAAAGAUUUAGAAGUUCAAAAGAUCGGUUGAUUGAUGACCGGUCUAAUGGGUCUGAGUUCAAACUUACUCUGAUUCCAUGUUGAAAAUGAGAGUUGAAUCCAAAACUUUAAAAGAUUUCAAGCAAAAAAUUGUUUCUUUUUUUUUUUCUUUUUUUUUUUUGGUUCAAUAUUUCUGCAAUACUUGCUAAUUAUUUUAAUGCAAGUACAAAGGUAGAUCUUUAGAGUCGAGAACUUAGUUUUAAAUCAAACCUAAUAUGUGAUGUGUUAGUAGUUAAUACCAUGUAUAUGGAGAUGAGCAUAUAUGGGAGGAGAAAUUGCUUGA
Molecule: long non-coding RNA, 1385 nt
Organism: Lycium ferocissimum
Lineage: Eukaryota; Viridiplantae; Streptophyta; Magnoliopsida; Solanales; Solanaceae
Exons: 2
Source: RefSeq, a predicted model, not a curated record